Molecule: long non-coding RNA, 675 nt
Filed under: Mustela putorius furo (domestic ferret)
Lineage: Eukaryota; Metazoa; Chordata; Mammalia; Carnivora; Mustelidae
Description: lncRNA (ENSMPUG00000030745.1)
Source: RNAcentral
UACGGUAUAAAAUGUUUUUCAAAGUACCCCAAACACCCCACGCUCUAGUGUGCAUGUCAGCACUAUGGUAUAUUUUCUUCUCAAAUUUGUUUGUUUCCUGUACAUAUUUAUCCCUAUAGGUAGCAUCAUGCUGAGUGUGAAGUUUCUCGCCCUCCUUUCUUUACUCUCCAUGAUAACAUGAGCAUUUUCUACAGGUGUAAGCUUGUGAGAAGCAGCUUUUUUCCUUGUUUAUUCCUUGAAUAUUUAUAGAUAUUUAUAGAUUGAAAGAAAACGGAAAGCAUUACUGUGUCUGUACUCUCACAGAAUAUUAUAAAAUGGUAUCUCCAUGCUUGACACAUCUCAGAAACACGCAAUUGGUGACAUAUGAAAAAUGUGGAGUGGGAAAAUCACACAAUUAGUAAAAUAUAUAGAAGGGUUAAAUUACAAAGACAUUUUUCUCCAGGUAUUACAAGCGUAAGCUCUGGACCUCUAUUCCUGGGCUCGAAUGCUAGGUCUGCUACUUACUGUUUGGGGGACUUAGAAAAGCAUCCUGCACUCUAUGACAUUCUAAUUCCCCAUUAUUACAUAAAAUGGGCCAAAAACCACAACCUUCCGGGUGAUCUUGCUGUAAGAAUGAAAUGCAAUUGUAUACGUAAAAUGCUUCAAGAGCCCUUGAUCCUUAGACGCGGGCUGUAG